UCCCUGGAGGACUAGUGGUUAGGCUCUCACAGCCAUGUUCCGGGUUCGAUUCCCGGCCAGGGAA
Molecule: non-coding RNA, 64 nt
Organism: Pangasianodon gigas (Mekong giant catfish)
Lineage: Eukaryota; Metazoa; Chordata; Actinopteri; Siluriformes; Pangasiidae
Source: the annotation of a GenBank genome assembly